CCGAGCAAUAUUCCUGCAACAAUCGUGCAGUUUUCUGCCCACCACCAACUUUAACCAGUGUUAUGAUGACCACCACGCAAUAAGCAGCAGCAGAAAUAACAACAACAGCAGCAGCAGCAGGAGAGGAACAGCAAACGGGUACAGUUGCAUUCUCCGACGGUGCAGCAGCUAUUCCACGUGUGAACGCAAUGGUGUAAUUUCUAAUCCGUGAAUAAGAAAUACUAAUGUGUUAUAAGAGGCACCAUUCGUUCUUCCUUCCAACGCAAAAUUCCAGAGUUUCACCGCAAUUAUCACGAGCAGUUCAUCUUUGAACUACUUUUAAGAGUUUUAGUUUUCUAGCGAGUGAUAAUUUGCAAUUAAUUCUGACGGGUUGCGCCUGCGCCCGAACACUCACGAUCGACCGCUUGGUAAGCGAACGCGUAACCAAGUGGCUACGAAGACCCCCCAAUAAAGGUCUUUACAUACGGUACACCUAAUUGCGCAGAGCGUAGAGAAACCGAUUCACAGUGGUGGUACUUUGCGAACCACCAGUGGUAUCGUGCUGGGAAUAACCGGCGAAGAUGGUGAUAGCUCGGCCGAUAAACACCCGCAUGAUCUGGUGAACGAUUUUAUGUGAUAAGUGUCAGCAAUACUUGCAAUGUAAUCUCAUAGUGCAUCGGCAGUGCUCGGCCACGGGACUAGAACCGUGCGCAGCGGAAACUGGCAGUAGGACGGUAACGUUGACUAGCCGUAGUCAUCAGGCCUUUGGACUUAGUCUUUGCUAGCAGUUUAGCGUGGCCGAGCUGUCGGCGCUGCAGAGCUCGAACAGAAAGCGAUGUGUAACUUGAACCUGGAUCUGUACAAGAUGUAUCGGACGACGUCACCGAAUUACGACGAGGUUAACAAACUGCGUGAUUCACUCAACGAAAAUCUAAUCAACACCGAUCCGAGCAGCUACUCACCGGAGUGUGUAGCCAUGGUUCUUACGGGUGCUGCCCAAUCCGAUCAUUUCGAUUAUGUUUUAUGAUAAAUUCGUCGUAAGUCACAAAAAUUACCAGUGAUGCGUAGCAAUUCGUUAUCCAGGAUCUGCCAAUUUACCACAACAUGACGCCAUCUGAUACGAAUAUGCCAAAUGUAGUACCAGCGGGAACUGGAAGAGGAACCAACAAUACUGAUACAAGUGUGGUGCCAUAUUCUAAUGCGUCCUCCUAGGGAGAAAAUUGUUCAAAUCGUGUAUUACACGGAAUACCACUUGCGAAUAAUGGAACUAUUGCUCUAUAAGCUGGACUGGAACGAAAAACUACCAGAAACUUCCGUCUGCUCCUGCGGUACCACCACGGAAAAUCUCCCGAAGUACGGCUGUGCUACAGCAGCAACAACAAAUACCCGGUUCAUCCACUGUUUUACCAACAGGAUAGGCUGCUCCAAAAAGCCUGCGAUCUCAUUCCCGGCAUCUGUGGUACAAGCGCCCUUGAUUGGGGUGUAUACUAAUGCCGGUAGGAAUAUUAGUAAUGGAACACUGGCUGCUGAAAAUCGGGGGAUAGCGUUGAUGAUGCAAACACACCAGCUGACCUGACGGAUCAAAUCUACCGAUUCCUUC
Long non-coding RNA from Toxorhynchites rutilus septentrionalis, 1579 nucleotides. RefSeq lists it as uncharacterized. NCBI's taxonomy places the organism in Eukaryota, Metazoa, Arthropoda, Insecta, Diptera, Culicidae. The record is from RefSeq and is a predicted model, not a curated record. The transcript has 4 exons.